Molecule: long non-coding RNA, 256 nt
Filed under: Ananas comosus (pineapple)
Lineage: Eukaryota; Viridiplantae; Streptophyta; Magnoliopsida; Poales; Bromeliaceae
Description: long non-coding RNA (ACOM_LNC004835)
Source: RNAcentral
UAUUAUAGUGUCAUAUUAUGAAUUGGGCUGGAAUACUAUUAAUAGCAUUUUGGCUCUUUUGUUAUCGAGCUUUUAACCAUUGGAUGAAAAAUUAUAGUGUUAAGAUGAUAGUGAUCUCCUAGGGUUCAGUAGUGGCCCUUCUAAGAUUGAGUGAGUGGUUGGUUGAAUAGUAAAUCCAACGGUUAAAGAAUCGAUAGAAAAAAGCUCCAAUACUAUUAAUAGUAUUCUAGCUCAGCUCGUCACAUUAUCUCCUACU